This 283-nucleotide small RNA is filed under the name Nomascus leucogenys (northern white-cheeked gibbon). Its description in RNAcentral is "Metazoan signal recognition particle RNA (ENSNLEG00000031062.1)". The stretch from base 1 to 117 matches the Rfam family "Metazoan signal recognition particle RNA". Lineage: Eukaryota; Metazoa; Chordata; Mammalia; Primates; Hylobatidae. The record is from RNAcentral.
GCUGGGUGUGGUGGCUCACCCCUGUAAUCCCAGCAUUUUGGGAGGCUGAGGCAGGUGGAUCACUUGAGGUCAGGAGUUCAAGGCCAGCCUGGUCAACAUGGUGAAACCCUGUCUCUACUAAAAUACAAAAAUUAGCCGGGCAUUACAGGUGGUGGGCACCUGUAAUCCCAGCUACUCGGGAGGCUGAGGCAGGAGAAUCGCUUGAACCCAGGAGGUGGAGGUUUCAGUGAGCAUGACAGCACCACUGUACUCAGCCUGGGCAACAGAGUGAGACUUUGUCUCA